This 72-nucleotide transfer RNA is filed under the name Camelus bactrianus (Bactrian camel). It matches the Rfam family "tRNA". Rfam says of the family: Transfer RNA (tRNA) molecules are approximately 80 nucleotides in length. The record is from Rfam by way of RNAcentral. RNAcentral also lists the same sequence under 2 other names. Lineage: Eukaryota; Metazoa; Chordata; Mammalia; Artiodactyla; Camelidae.
AGAGGUAUAGCUCAGUGGUAGAGCUGAUGCUUAGCAUGCAGGAGGCCAUGGGUUCAGUCCCCAGUACCUCAA